UCAUGACUCUCAGAAGGGGCCAAUCACCACCACACAUAACAGGGGUUGGAGGUAUCAAUAGGGAAGGAUUUUUAUCCACUGGCAAAGGAGGGACAUCAUCUCCCAACUCAGCUGCUAACCUUUCUGCAACAUCCUGUAGACCAUGGACAGAUGCUGUAAUAUAAGCAAGAGGUAAGUGACCAGCAUUCUCCAAGAUCUUAACUCGUUCCUGUAUAUCACCAAGGUACAAAGCAUUGUGAAACUGACCCAUAACAUCAUUCUUAACUUCUGCAAUUUUCAGCAUCUUGGAUAGCUUUUCCAGGUUACCAUUUACGAGAUAAAGAAAAGACAAUCUCUCAAAGUUCUUAGUCCUCUGGUAGGCAUAUUCCACAAUAGCAGCAUUGCCUUGGCGAAGGGCCUCCACACCCAACCUAUACCAAUGAUCUUUGUCAUCAAUCUCCUUAGCUGAUGCGACAGCAAUUUGAAUGUUCCCACUCUCUAAAGCCAAAUUAAAGCGUGUUUUCUCAUCUUUGACAAAAUGGAGAGCCACUUCAGG
This 535-nucleotide long non-coding RNA is filed under the name Gossypium barbadense (sea-island cotton). RNAcentral describes it as "long non-coding RNA (GBAR_LNC021439)". Lineage: Eukaryota; Viridiplantae; Streptophyta; Magnoliopsida; Malvales; Malvaceae. The record is from RNAcentral.